RNAcentral lists this small RNA (612 nucleotides) under Rattus norvegicus (Norway rat). RNAcentral describes it as "uncharacterized LOC102556604". Lineage: Eukaryota; Metazoa; Chordata; Mammalia; Rodentia; Muridae. The record is from RNAcentral.
GCGACUUCUUACCGCAGUGGUUAGUGGUCAAUGCAAAGACCCUCCGGAGUGCUGGAAAUAAGGUGCCCACUGCACAAAGAGGAACCAGGGAUCUGUAGGCUGAGCCUGGAGUUAGAAUGUUGUCUGCAGAGUGAGGUCCUUCAAGCAGGAUCAGCUUCUAGUGGGACAGACAUUGUAUAUCAUCAGUCGCUUUUGAUUCACAGACACAUCAUUCGGAGUUCUACCGCUGCCAUGGUGUGACACUCUCUUCCUGUGUUGUUCCUCCCUUCACUGUAAGUCAUAUUGGAUGAAGGGGCUGUCUUAAUGCAGCAGGAUCUUUUCUUAACUAACUGUAUCCGCAACAAACAACAUCUCACUCUCGGUUUUUAAAAAGGACACGGAAUUUGGGGUAGUUACUUUUCAAUGUAUUAGAGUUAUAGGGGAGGGUGGUUUUUUUCUUUUUUCUUUUUGUCUGGUCUUACACCACAAAGCAGCAUGCUUAUAUAACACAGAGAACAGAUUUACUAGGAUUCUGUUGGUCACACGGGACUCUUCCUCAGAGGGGAAGUAUGUGAAAACCUAGGUCAGAUUCUCUGAGAGUCCCUGCACAUAUGUGGCCUAUGUGCAGCUUGG